AGCAGCCGCGGUAAUUCCAGCUCCAAUAGCGUAUAUUAAAGUUGUUGCAGUUAAAAAGCUCGUAGUUGAAUUCCGGGAUCAAGUCGUCGGUCGUGCCUCGGUACGCACUGGUGACAUUGGUUUCUCCCUUCUGAAGAACCUUGAUGUCAUUAAUUUGGUGUCUUGGGAAAUCAGGACUGUUACUUUGAAAAAAUUAGAGUGUUUAAAGCAAGCUCACGCUUGAAUACAUUAGCAUGGAAUAAUGAAAUAGGACGUUUGAUUCUAUUUUGUUGGUUUCUAGGAUCGACGUAAUGAUUAAUAGGGAUAGUUGGGGGCAUUAGUAUUCAAUUGUCAGAGGUGAAAUUCUUGGAUUUAUUGAAGACUAACUACUGCGAAAGCAUUUGCCAAGGAUGUUUUCAUUAAUCAAGAACGAAAGUUAGGGGAUCGAAGACGAUCAGAUACCGUCGUAGUCUUAACCAUAAACUAUGCCGACUAGGGAUCGGAUGAUGUUAAUUUUUAAUGACUCAUUCGGCGCCUUAAC
Molecule: ribosomal RNA, 520 nt
Filed under: uncultured Glomus
Lineage: Eukaryota; Fungi; Glomeromycota; Glomeromycetes; Glomerales; Glomeraceae
Description: SSU rRNA
Rfam family: Eukaryotic small subunit ribosomal RNA
Source: RNAcentral